CCUACGGUUGGCAGCAGUGGGGAAUAUUGCGCAAUGGGCGCAAGCCUGACGCAGCGACGCCGCGUGAGGGAUGAAGGUCCUCGGAUCGUAAACCUCUGUCAGCAGGGAAGAAAGGCCACUGAGCUAAUCAGCAGUGAAUUGACGGUACCUGCAAAGGAAGCACCGGCUCACUCCGUGCCAGCAGCCGCGGUAAUACGGAGGGUGCGAGCGUUAAUCGGAAUUACUGGGCGUAGAGCGCUCGUAGGCGGUAUGUCAAGUCAAGGGUGAAAGCCUCGCGGCCAACGUGGGGACUGCCUUUGAAACUGGUAAUCUUGAGUGUGUGAGAGGAUAGUGGAAUUCGAGGUGUAGGAGUGAAAUGCGUAGAUAUCUGGAGGAACAUCAGUGGCGAAGGCGACAAUCUGGCACAUAACUGACGCUGAGGAGCGAAAGCGUGGGUAGCAAACAGGAUUAGAUACCCUAGUAGUC
RNAcentral lists this ribosomal RNA (465 nucleotides) under uncultured bacterium. RNAcentral's name for it is "partial 16S ribosomal RNA". It matches the Rfam family "Bacterial small subunit ribosomal RNA", at positions 338 to 795 of the family's 1533-position model. The record is from RNAcentral.